GUUUUUGCUGUGCUGCACAGGUUAGAACUCCUGGGCUCAAGUGAUCUUCCUGCCCUAAGCUUCCCAAAGUCCUGGGAUUACAGGUGUGAGCCACCGCCCUAGGCCAUUAAAUAUACUUUUUAAAAAGACCCUUAUGUCAGCGAUCUUCAGGCCUCCUGUGUGUGGAGACAGUUGUCUUAAUGUAGAUUCUCAGAUCACCCAAAAAUUCUGAAUUCUUUUGGGGAAGGUGGAACCCCACAGGGCAGGCAGUAUAACUCAGUAUCUUCAAGUUCAUUUGCUGACUCGGAUAUGCCUAUUUACCUGCCAAAAAUGAUUACAGUUUCAGAGAAACUCUUCUCAAUUGUAUAGUAUGUGACCCUCAAUUUUUCCUCAAAUGAACUGUUUUUUCCUCCUCCUAAAAAAUAACAGAAUGGGAAUUUUGAGAGGCAAAGAGGAAUAGUAAUUAAUAUUUUUGGAAACUUGCAGGUCAGGUUUUCCUUUUAAAAGGAAUGUUGAAAUAUAUUCUUUCGAACAAGAGAAGUUCACCUUAUUUGUGUUUCUCCUGCUUAAUUGCAAUCCUUAAGGAAAGUGAUUUUUCAGUGCCUAAGCACAGAGCUGGAAGCUCAAUAAAUGUUAGUUUUGUUGGUUUAUACGUGAAAUUGAUUCUCAAGUAAUAGUUAAGCUCAGAAAACAUAUAAACAAGGCUUUUUGGGAGAGACUUCAGGGUCCCAUUUAACCUACAUCUCCUAAUAUUCUAUUCAUAGAGGAAACUGAUGCCUCAUGGUCUCUGAGUACAUCUAUCCCACCAUUCAGUUCUUCUUUGGGUUUCCUGUACUAAUCAUUGCAGUUAUCCUUUUCCUGCACCUUACUUCCUUGGGCUUUUUGUUUAAAUUAACCAGCUACCUAUCUCCUUUUCAAGUAGUUACAUACUAUUUCUUACCCUUAUAAGACAAAUUUAUUAAGUAUAUUACACGCUUGUACUUGGAUGAGAAAGCUGGUGAAACUUUUGUCAGGGCUAGUGUGUGUGUGAGAUUUGCAAAAUGUAAACUUAGGUUACUUCCAUAUAUUUUUUGUGAGUGGAGGUUUGGCAUAAUUACAUAAUUCUCUUUUACAACACUCUGGUUUGACUGUUAGGUUAAUUGUAGAGCACCUUGUUAGGUCACAAAUCCAGAAGUCUGGUACUGGACUUUGCAGGUUGCUUUCUUAGUGGCAUAUUAGUUUAUAUUAGAGCACAUACUUCUCAAGAAGCCUUUUUUUUCUUAUCUGUGACUCUCUCUUCUUGAGAUGGGAUAAUGUAUUGGAUUAUUAGAGAAGUGUGAGUAUUGAAUCAGAUAGUUUUAUUUUAUCUAGAGCAGGGUUAAACCUGAUGAAUUGUUUCUGCUCUCUCAUGGAGUAUAUCUUCUUGGUGACAAAGACUUUUCUGUCUCUGAUUUUUAUCUUAGUCGUGGUUACAUUUAAUAAUCCUGCUUUCCAGCUUUUCCUAGAGAUCAGUCAUCAGUGACCUUUUGUCUUGAUACUUUGUCACCUUUUGUUUUCUGGUUUUGGGUUUUUUUUUUCUUUUUUAAACAUAUGUAACAUUGGCUUUUCCUGCUGACAACAGUAACAGAGUUUCAGAUCAUGUUUAUAGAAUGGUUAUUUCAUCACCUAACUAAUCUCACCUCUAGUGUAUGGAUUCUGGUAAAGUCAGUCAACAGUCUUCACAGCCUUUUCUAUUUUUACUGACCUUGAUUUAAAAUCUAAUCUUAGACCUUGAGGUAUUGCUUACGAAUAGUGUAAUAAUGAGGUACUACUUAUAACAAAUAAUGGUAACAUACUCUAGUGCGUACUAUAGGCAAAAGCUAAUGGAAACAUAGGUAGAAGAAAUGAAGUAAUAGUUAUUGAAUGCUUUUUGUGUACUGCAGGUGUGGAAACAGGAAGAGAACUAGAACUGGAAGUAAAGCAUUGAAGAUGUGACUGAAUUGCUGCAAUCUCAUGAUCAAAUUUGAAUGGAUGAGGAGUUGCUUUUUAGGGAUGAGCAAAGAAAGUGGUUUCUCGAGAUGGAAUCUACUGGUUGCUCCUUGAGGGCAGGACAGUUCUUAUGGCUUUAUCCGUUGCGUAAGCACAGAGAGGUCUGCGAGGUCAAAACUAUUGUCAUGAUAGCAAGAUGCCUGUCUUUUUCAUUUAUUCUCACGGUGUGCAGAGGCUACAUGAUGUGUGAUGACAUCCUCAUUGAUGUUAAUGAAUGGUGCUAUACUUGAAUUUUCUAAGGUGUCAUUAGGUAGGUUUAGGUAUGCAUACUUGUUUUUAGAAAUUAUUUUUUUCCUUUUUCCCAUUUUUAGAAAUCAACUCAUUUUUUAGGUUAUGCCUUCAGUAAUCUUUGCAACCUCAAUAUUGUGUAAUGGUUACUUUAAAAUACUGUAGUUUUCUUUGUGCCUAAGUAUAAACAUAAGUACAUUUUGUUGUUUUGUUUGCAAUAGUGGUUUAAAUAUUUUCCCAAAAUAUCCAAAUUUAAAAAUUCUACAACUUUAGAAUUUAAUAAAUUUAUUCUAAAAUAUUUAUAUAUUUUUUCAUUUAAGAAUGGAUCGGCUUAAAAAGACUGCUUCUCAUUUACUUACUGGCUAUACCAUCUGUAUACUAAUAAAAAACAAGAUUUGAUUUGGAAGGACUGACUCAAACUAACGAAAAUAUGAAACCUGUCUUUCUGCUUUGGAGAUAUUUACCUAAUCAUGUUCUGCAGUAGAAUAAUUUAGUUCUUUUGUCUUUUUUUGGAGAUGAGGUCUUGCUGUGUUGCCCAGGCUAUUCACAGCUGCCAUCAUAGUGAACUACAGCCUGAAACUCCUGGGUUCAAGAGAUCCUUCUGCCUCAGCCUCCUGAGUAGCUGGAACUAUAGGCAUGCGCCACCAAGCCUGGGCUUUUAAAAAAAUUUUAAAAAGAAUUUUGAGACAGGAUCUUGCCAUGUUGCUCAGGCUAGUCUUCAACUCCUAGCCCUGAGUGAUCUUGCUUUGGGCCUCUCAAAAUGUUGAGUUAAUAGGCGUGAGCCACCAUACCCAGCCAAAAAUUUUUUUAGAGAUGGGAAUGGAAUGAUCUUGAAUAGUGUUGGUGCCACCUAUGUUGUGGCAUCAUUUUGAAACCAAUCAUUCAGAGUGCUUUUUUUGGUAAGGCAUUAUUUUUUAAUGCAGGUAUGCCACUACUGGGAAAAAAAAAAAAACAGGUUUUAAAGCUAGAAAUGAAAAGCUACUUAAGUAUCUUAAAGGAUAAGUUACUUUAUUAUACACUAGAAACAUACACAAUAGCUGAAAAACUUAAAAAAUCUCACACUGCUGAAUGUCUCUGCUGGCUGAAGUGUAAGUAAAAGAUCAUAGUAGUGCCGCUGUUGAGUGAUAAAGCAACUUGUCAUUAAAGAUGUGUGUGCAGACAUGGAUUCUGAGUUAAUAUCUCAUCUGUAGAAGUAUAUAUUUGUCCCUUGCUUUGGGAUUGGUUUCUGGACAGCACUCCCCCACCCUUGCUGGCCAUUUGCCAAGGACACCAAAACCCAAGGAUGUUGAAUUCCCUUUUAUAAAAUGGCGCUGUAUCUGCAUACAACUUACACACAUCCUCCCAUAUACUUUAAAUCAUUUCCAGAUUUCUUAUACUUCAUACAAUGUGAAUGCUAUAUAAAUAGUUGUUACAUUGUGUACUUAUAUUUGUACUAUUGUAUUAAAUAUUCUCAAAUAUUUUCAAGCACAUUUGGUUGAAUCUGCAGAUGCAGAACCUGAGGAUAUGGAGGGCUGACUGUGCUAAUACGUUAUCAAUGGAUGCGUGCAUAAACAUGGCUGGACUUGUUACUUGGCUUGUAUUUGCCAGGCAUCAGCACCAACUAGUUAAAGAUACUCUUACGUGAAAGCUUGGCAACAAACACAUGUCCUGAAAUAAUGCAAGUGUAGAAUAACUUUUUAAAAUCUCAUGGUUUAUGCUAAACUAUAUGUUGACAUAAGAGUGGUGAUAAGGCAACAGUAGGUAAAAGUAAAAUUUCAGGCACCUUGGCACAAACUGUGGCAGUGGCAUCAAACUCUAAGUUAUUUUUCACUGCCAUGCAUUUGUGGUGUGAACCCCCACAAAAGAAAAAAACCAGUUUCACUCAAGAAUGUCCUUGUGAAAGCAGUGACAUUUUGUUAAAUCUUAAACCCUACAGUACAUAACUUUUUGAAAUGGUUGUCUCAAGAAAAAGCACUCAUGUAAGCUGAAUUAUCUGCUAUUUCCUUGGAGCCUAACAACUGACAGCAAUUGUUUUCAAUGAUAAAAUCCAAACGUUGAGUCAAAAUCAGAAUUUCGGGAAAACUUGUGUCUAAUAUCAGGAACUUGACAGCUUCCCAAUACUUCAUGAGAUAGUGAUAUUGAAAAUAAUUUUUUUUUUUUUUUGGGACAUCUGGCUGACUGCAACCUCUGUCUCCUGGGUUCAAGCAAUUCUCCUGCCUCAGCCUCCUGCAUAACUGGGACUACAGGUGUGUACCACUGUACCCGGCUAAUUUUUGUAUUUUUAGUAGAGAUGGGGUUUCACCAUGUUGGCCAGGGUGGUCUUGAACUCCUGACCUCAGGUGAUCCACCUUGGCCUCCCAAAGUGCUAGGAUUACAGGUUUAAGCCACUGUGCCCGGCCAAUGAUAUUUUAGGUAGUAUACAGUAAAAUGGGCCAACAUUUGGGAGAUUGACAUAACUCAGUGAAGCUAUAUUUUCCUAAUGACUAAUACGUGAGAUUAUAGAAAACUGCUAGUAACAUUGUAACCAAUUGAAUGCAAAAGAAACAAUUCAGUUGUCUUCUAUUUAAGUCAGACAUUUAGGGAAACAAUUGCCAAAAUGUAAAACAAUGCACCUAUUUUUUUAAAAAUAUGCAUUUGUUGCUAUAAUAUUUAAAUAUUUUACUUUCUAAUAUGGUAAGAUACUAGUAAAGUGAUUUGGGGCCCUCAAUCUUUAAGAAUGUGAAGGGAUUCUCUGAGGCCACAAAGUUUAAGAAAUGGCUACUCUAGCACAAACGCACAUAGUAAAUACUCAAGUACCUGUUGAAUGACUUCAUGGAGUUAAAGUGACUCCUGGUAUUAAAUCUGUAUGGCUGGGAUAAUGGGCAUGCUAGGACAGGAAGCAGAUUUCCUUAACUUCACCACUGUAACUCAUUAACAAACAUGUUAGCCUGAGACAGAAGUAUUAAGGGGCGACAGGAAAGCCUUUCAUAAGCAAUGUGAUGCUUUUUUUCACAUUAUUCAACAUGGUUUAAAAUUUGGUAUACAGGCCUAUGGUGUUUGUCCUGAACUUUUGCCAGAGUAGAAUGGUUCAUGUUUUUCCUCAUAGAUUUUCACUCCUCACUAAACUUCAUGACAUCUAACAUGAACUUAUUAGAAAAGGCUAUGCUUGAGAAUAAGGAUAUCUUUUUUCUAUGCCUAUGUUGUUAAUGAGUAUGAAGCACUUACAGGCUUUUAUGUACUUGAGGUUCCAAAGACAUUUCCAAAUUUUCCCAUUUUCAGUCUUCAACUUAACAUUUUGGUCCUUGCAGUGGAGACCUGAGUCCUAUCUGACAUUGGGACUACAGUUAGGGCAGAAUUUCCUAAACUGCCAUUUUUUAAAGAAAUAAGGGUAACCAAAUGUUCCCCUUAAAAGCACUCUGGUACCCUCUAGUAUUGGGAGAUAACUAUCUUCCCCUAAUUAGAUUUGUAAAAUCUUUCUCAAUAUUUAUUUACAUUUUUUUCCCCUCAAAUAUAUUGACUUUUUCAUUCCCAGUAACAAUAUGUCUGGUCUGUAACUAAGUCAUUCCAUGUUCAGAUUACAGAUUUAUUUCCCCAUCUUUUCACAUUCUUUUAGUCCAGGAGACCCACUUUGAAGGUUAAAACCAAGGUCACACAAUGAAUAGGUGGCAGUGUCACAUAUAACUCAGCUCCAGGCCUUAUGAAUCCUGCUUAUAGCCCACUGCCUAUUCUAGUCACCAGAUUGAAAAACACCAUACUAGGGAAGAAGACGGCAAACUAUUGCCCACUACAUAUUUGUAUCAGUCUUGUCAAAUUUUUAUUGUAGUAUGUAAUAGAAUUAAAGCUAUGAUGAAUCAAGUAAAAAAUGAUUUCCUUAAAAACUAAGCUAAUAGGCGAAAAUACUCGCUUGUUCAACAAAUACCCAGUCUGGCAGAUACAAUACCCUGCCCUUAGUGGGGGGUGGAGUGGGGGGUGGGGGGGUGGGGAAAGACAUCGUGGUGAAAACAGACAUGGUCCUUGAACUUCCUGGUUCUGUGGGUUGCUUAAUUUGAGGUUUAAAUGGUUUCUCCCAUCAGGUGAAAAGUUUUGUGUUCGGCCCAUAAACAAAGCAGCUGUGAAUUCUGAUAGUGGUAAAAAGGCCAGUCUAGGAUAUAAAACCUUCAUAAACAUCUUAUUUCCCAUUCAUUAUGAAGUGUGGGGUAGGAGAUCAGAGAAACCAGAUGAGGAUUGCUGGCUGUGCUGCUAAUGUGAACUCUUCUUUCAAAAGUAUUGUGUCCUUUUAUUCUCAAUGGAGACAUCAGAAAGUAUUAAGAGGAGUACUAUUAUAAUACUAAUAGGAUACUGAAAAUCUAUACUGAUUGCAGCCAGAGGCUCCAAAAUAAACAAUACUAUGAUGAGUUCCACAAAAAAACCUCAACUACUCUUUGUUCCAGGGAAGCACCAUUUUCCACAAAACUCUCAAGAAGGACUUGUUGCAACUGGAAAAGCAAUUAAAUGUGAAUCGUGAUCCAGGAGAAAGUAACAACUCACAUAACUCCCAAAUUAAAAGUUUUCCAAAGAUAUAUCAUUUUUUUUCUCUUGGCCUUUUAAGAAACUAGCCAACAAAUACUCUUGACAGGUUUGUGUUUGGUUUUGAAAACACACACCUUAGUGUACUGAAAGAAAAACAAUUUCUUUUAAUUUGGUUUGUUGGUCCCACACCCCAUCUAUCAAUGUAUGUGCUAUUUACAAAUAAGUUCUAUACAGUAUUUUUGCAGUACCUUUGAUAAUUCCUAGACCUCUAUUUUCAUUCUGUGUAUUAAUGUGAAUAACAGAUGGAUAUUUUAAUAUUUAAGGCAGAUGGUAAACUUUCCUAUAGGUCUUGUGAGACUUCGUCUUAUAGGCUGAACACCAUUCACAAAAUGUAAUAAUGCUUCAUUCCUUCAGGUUGAGGUAAAGAACUUGAGCAACUGGAUUAGCAAAGCUGCAAAGAAUGAAAUGUGGCCUAAGAUGUAAUUAUGUUCUCUGCCCUUCCUUUGGGCCAGGGUAGUUUUGCACUUGACACAAUGGAAAAUAGGCCAUAAAGCCUGAAAAUAAAAUGUUCUAAACCCCAAUCUCACAGCACUUUAGUAGGCUUUUCACUAGGCAUCUUUAAAGUAUUUUCAACAAAAUACUAAUUAAGCUACCACUUCAAAAGAGCUUCAAGGAAAAGCUCUGCUUUCUUAUAAAAUCUUUUUGAGACAGAGUUUCGCUCUUGUCGCACAGGCUGGAGUGCAAUGGCGUGAUCUCGACUCACCGCAACCUCCGCCUGCUGGGUUCAAGUGAUUCUCUAGCCUCAGCCUCCUGAGUAGUUGGGAUUACAGGCGCCCGCCACCACACCUGGCUAAUUUUUGUAUUUCUAGUAGAGACAGGGUUUCACCAUGUUGGCCAGGCUGGUCUCCGGACCUCAGGUGAUCUGCACACUUCGGCUUCCUAAACUGCUGGAAUUACAGUCGUGAGCCACUGUGCCUGGUCUCAUAAAACUUUUAAAUUCCAUCACAUUACAUUCACACCUUUUGCUAACCAGGAUGAAGAGCCUUAAACAGGUUUAAAGAGUGCAGACUGCAGUUUUGUUAAUACUUUUUUCCUCUCCAAGUUCUUUUAUGCUAACAUUUCCAGUGGUGGGAAGUACAAGUACUAUUAGUCAUCUUCAUUCUUUGCAUUGCCAAAGAGUUCCUCUUUCUCCGUCUUGUUCUGAAGGAUGAACAAAAGCUUGAGGUGUACGUAUCAGAACGUAAACUGCAGCACGAAGACCACCAACGUUCACCCAGACUGUAUCCACCUUUCGCCAUACGUGUCGCAUUCCAGAUAACGCCUGUGUACACACAAAAAAAAUAACAAUUAGGUUGACAAUCUACUUUUACAUCAACUAGGAUUCUUAACUGCCAAGAUAGGAAACCUCAGGGGAAGAGAAAACAAAUCUUAUCCAAACAAACAUCCCCAAAUCUCAAAAAGAUCCCAAAGUUGCCACAGGCUGCGAUUUUGAGCUAAUGUGUAUAGCACCUUGGUAAAGCAUUUUGUGUCUUGAGUAAGUAGUACAGCUCGGCCUGUGGUAGGUGUGCAGACACGGCUCAUCUCCCGUAGGCAAGCUGGAUAAAGGUUCCAGUUUCUCUUCUUGGAUCCCAUCCUAUAAUAGAAGGUCUCAUGAGUCAAACACUUGCAAAAGAUACAAAAUAGAAGGACUAUAUGAAACAAAAACAGUUUCAUGCAUCCUGAGGCAUGAAAAAUAGCUGUAGUUUUAGAAACCAGACCUUUGCCAUUACAUGUCUAUGAAAUAAGUUGAGUUAGUAAACUGCUUAGAAUUCUGAAUCAAAAAAAUUUUUUUUAGACAACUGUGUUAGUUAUAUGACUUGUCCUCUUAGUAUAAUAAGCAGUCAAACUGUAUAAACCAAACAAGUGAUUAGAAAUCAUUUAGGCCAGGUGUUUUGGUGGCUCAUGCCUGUAAUCCCAGCAGUUUGGGAGGCUGAGGCGGGCAGAUCACCUGAAGUCAGGAGUUUGAGACCAGCCUGGCCAAUAUGGUGAAACCCUGUCUUUUAAAAAUACAAAAAUAAGCUGGGCAUGAUGGCAUGUGCCUGAAAUCCGAGCUACUCAGGAGGGUGAGGCAGGAGAAUCGCUUGAACCCGGGAGGCAGAGGUUACAGUGAGCCGAGAUCAUACCACUGCACUCCAGCCUGGGCAACAGAGCAGGGCUCUGUCUCCAAAAAAAAAAAAAGAAUCAUUUAUGCUGAGAAACAGAAUGAGAACCAAGUCUUCUACCACCUUUUUGUGUAGGAUAUAUAAUUCAAGAAUGGGCUAGAAAGUGAAUUACAGGUAAUUUAAAAAUGAACCUCCCAUGAUGGUCAGGAUUCCAAAUGUAGUUAAUACAUUCCUGAGUUCUCGGAAGAAACAUAAUGGGUGAAUCCAUCAUGUUGUUAAGUGAAAAACAGCUCUGCUAAGUCUGCUAAAAUUCAAGAUUUUUUUCCUGACUUAGAAUAAACGCAAGGAAAAUAAUGACAUAUUUAGAAGACAAGCAGGUACUAGUAUUUCUCACCUUUUUCCAAAUGGCAAAUCUGUUACAAUAAUAUCCACAGAGCCAGUUCUCAAUGGCAGAUUGCAGAUAUCCCACUGAACAGCAUCUAUGGGCAAGCCCCAGGAGGGUUUGCUGUGGGGACAAAGGAAAGGUGCUUCAACAUACUGUGAAGCAUAAAGUUAUUACAACAAUUUUUGUUUCUGAAGAGAGACUGCUACAGCAAAACAUAAACUGCUAAGGAUAUCAGUGAUAAUAUCAACCUAUUCAAAAUUUAAGAAAUGGCACAAAGGUAAAAAAUAGGUCAGGCUGGGCAUGGUAGCUUGUGCCUAUAAUCAGCACUUUCAGGGGCUGAGGUGGGAGGAUCACUGGACUCCAGGAAUUUGAGACCAGCUGAGCAACACUGUGAGACCUUGUCUCUAAAAUACUUUUUUAAGAAGUUAGCAGGGCAUGAUGGCACACACCUAUAGUCCCAGCUACUCAGGAGGCUGAGGUGGGAGGAUCACUUGAGUCCAGGAGUUGAAAGAUGCAGUGAGCUAGGAUUGUGCCGCUUUACUCCAGCCUGGGUGACAGAGCAAGACCCCCGUCUCAGAAAAAAGGGAAACAAACUGAAAACAUGAUUGUAAUGCAGAGAACUGCAAAAGACAACUUUAAAAACAAUGCUGAAGCAGUAAAUUACAUAACCGAUGAUACAAAAAUUUAAGUUGCUGAUAAAACAUACACUGGAG
Molecule: long non-coding RNA, 9920 nt
Filed under: Homo sapiens (human)
Lineage: Eukaryota; Metazoa; Chordata; Mammalia; Primates; Hominidae
Description: PREDICTED lncRNA (TCONS_00190517)
Source: RNAcentral